AGCAGUCGCCGCGGUAACACGUAGGUGGCAAGCGUUGUCCGGAAUUAUUGGGCGUAAAGGGCUCGCAGGCGGUUUCUUAAGUCUGAUGUGAAAGCCCACGGCUCAACCGGGGAGGGUCAUUGGAAACUGGGAAACUUGAGUGCAGAAGAGGAGAGUGGAAUUCUACGUGUAGCGGUGAAAUGCGUAGAGAUGUGGAGGAACACCAGUGGCGAAGGCGACUCUCUGGUCUGUAACUGACGCUGAGGCGCGAAAGCGUGGGGAGCGAACAGGAUUAGAUACCCCGGUAGUCCCUGUCUCUUAUAC
This 303-nucleotide ribosomal RNA is filed under the name uncultured bacterium. Its description in RNAcentral is "partial 16S ribosomal RNA". It matches the Rfam family "Bacterial small subunit ribosomal RNA", at positions 507 to 807 of the family's 1533-position model. The record is from RNAcentral.